GACGAACGCUGGCGGCGUGCCUAAUACAUGCAAGUUGAGCGCUGAAGGUUGGUACUUGUACCAACUGGAUGAGCAGCGAACGGGUGAGUAACGCGUGGGGAAUCUGCCUUUGAGCGGGGGACAACAUUUGGAAACGAAUGCUAAUACCGCAUAAAAACUUUAAACACAAGUUUUAAGUUUGAAAGCUGCAAUUGCAUCACUCAAAGAUGAUCCCGCGUUGUAUUAGCUAGUUGGUGAGGUAAAGGCUCACCAAGGCGAUGAUACAUAGCCGACCUGAGAGGGUGAUCGGCCACAUUGGGACUGAGACACGGCCCAAACUCCUACGGGAGGCAGCAGUAGGGAAUCUUCGGCAAUGGACGAAAGUCUGACCGAGCAACGCCGCGGGAGGGAAGAAGGUUUUCGGAUCGUAAAACUCUGUUGGUAGAGAAGAACGUUGGUGAAAGUGGAAAGCUCAUCAAGUGACGGUAACUACCCAGAAAGGGACGGCUAACUACGUG
RNAcentral lists this ribosomal RNA (497 nucleotides) under uncultured bacterium. Its description in RNAcentral is "partial 16S ribosomal RNA". It matches the Rfam family "Bacterial small subunit ribosomal RNA", at positions 28 to 507 of the family's 1533-position model. The record is from RNAcentral.